AGAGUUUGAUCCUGGCUCAGAUUGAACGCUGGCGGCAGGCCUAACACAUGCAAGUCGAGCGGAUGAGAAGAGCUUGCUCUUCGAUUCAGCGGCGGACGGGUGAGUAAUACCUAGGAAUCUGCCUGGUAGUGGGGGACAACGUUUCGAAAGGAACGCUAAUACCGCAUACGUCCUACGGGAGAAAGCAGGGGACCUUCGGGCCUUGCGCUAUCAGAUGAGCCUAGGUCGGAUUAGCUAGUUGGUGAGGUAAUGGCUCACCAAGGCGACGAUCCGUAACUGGUCUGAGAGGAUGAUCAGUCACACUGGAACUGAGACACGGUCCAGACUCCUACGGGAGGCAGCAGUGGGGAAUAUUGGACAAUGGGCGAAAGCCUGAUCCAGCCAUGCCGCGUGUGUGAAGAAGGUCUUCGGAUUGUAAAGCACUUUAAGUUGGGAGGAAGGGUACUUACCUAAUACGUGAGUAUUUUGACGUUACCGACAGAAUAAGCACCGGCUAACUCUGUGCCAGCAGCCGCGGUAAUAC
This 523-nucleotide ribosomal RNA is filed under the name Pseudomonas sp. C54D. Its description in RNAcentral is "bacterial SSU rRNA". It matches the Rfam family "Bacterial small subunit ribosomal RNA", at positions 8 to 526 of the family's 1533-position model. Lineage: Bacteria; Pseudomonadati; Pseudomonadota; Gammaproteobacteria; Pseudomonadales; Pseudomonadaceae. The record is from RNAcentral.